Molecule: non-coding RNA, 208 nt
Organism: Macaca mulatta (Rhesus monkey)
Lineage: Eukaryota; Metazoa; Chordata; Mammalia; Primates; Cercopithecidae
Source: RefSeq, a predicted model, not a curated record
CAAAAUAUGAUUCAAGGAUUUGGUGUGUGAUGCCAGAAACUCCCUAGGGUAAUUCUAACUAGUAGGUCCUCAAAUUAAAUUUCAGUCAAGUCCAUUUGCCAGAAUUAAUCACAUGGUCCUGCCUAACUGCAAGAAGGGCAGGGUACGCAGGAAGAAGAAAGGAACCAGAUUUGAUCUCAUGUGUUUUGGAUGAAGUUACUUCUAAGUA